UUAAAAUCUGUAUACUCAUUUUUUGAGUUUUAAGCGGAUCAAAUUACUCGUUCGAGUUUAAUGGGCUCUAACACAACAUUAAGAAUUUAGAUUCCAUGUUAUAAGGUCAAUAUUAUCAAGAGGAGUAGCUCAAUCCCUUAUAAGUUGGUCAAUGUAUUUAUCUUCAUUUGAUGUUGAAUAACAUUAUAGGAUUUCAAUCUUAUUAUGUUGACUUUUGGGAUCGUAGAGAUUAACAAGGAUAGUCAAUGGCAUUUGUAUUUCAUGGUAAGAAAUGAAAUUCUUGAAUUUAUAAAAGACAAACAACAGUGAAAAUAUUUGUCAAUGAUGCAUUCAUUAAGAACGAAAGUGGAGGGAUCAAAGACGAUCAGAUAAUAUCCUAGUCUCAACCAUAAAAUGAUACCGACCAAGGAUUGACAAAUGUUGCUUGUAGGACUCUGCCGAUACCUCAUGAAAUAUCAAAAUUUUUGGGUU
Molecule: ribosomal RNA, 471 nt
Filed under: Olea europaea subsp. europaea
Lineage: Eukaryota; Viridiplantae; Streptophyta; Magnoliopsida; Lamiales; Oleaceae
Description: Eukaryotic small subunit ribosomal RNA
Rfam family: Eukaryotic small subunit ribosomal RNA
Source: Rfam by way of RNAcentral